GCGGCGGCGGGCGGGGACCCCCGACGGGACCCCCCCGGGCCGGGCAUCCCCCACCCCCGGGCCGGGCAUCCCCCCCCCCCGGGCCGGGCAUCCCCCGGCGGGGCCGCUCCGGGGGUGCCCCGGGGGGGACGCGCUGCCCCGCGGGGGAGGCUCCGCCCGCGUCCCGGGGGGGCUCAACCCCGGCUCCCUCCGGGGUCCCGGGGGUCCGGCUCCCUCUGACGCCGAGGGAAGGGGGCGAGGGGCGCCCCGGCCCCCCCGAUGCCGCCCCGUCCCGCUGCCGGGGGAGCGGAGCCGCCGGGAGCUGCCGGGGGAGAUCCGAGGGGGGGCUGCGGGCCCGGGGGGCACAGAGGGACCAGUGGGGGACAGGUGGGGACCCCGAUGCCGCCCCACAGCCCGACCUCCCGUCCGGGACCCCCGACCCAGCACUCACACACAGAGAAUGACACCGGCACGGGGAGAGGGGGGACCCCGGCAGGGACACCUCAGUCAGGGGGACCCCCGACAGGGGCAUCGCCGUCACGGGAACCCCCCCGGCAGGGACAGCUCCGGCACAGGGACCCCCGGCAGGGACAGCUCCGGCACAGGGACCCCCGGCAGGGACGUCACCCCGAGCAGGGACCCUGCAGGUGGGGACUCGCGGCCACCCCGAGCUGGGGACACCCGAGCCGGGGGGUCCCCGCGCCCCCCGCGCUGGGGCCGCGCUCACUCCCAGCCGGGGGGACUGAGAAGCCCCGGCCGAGCUCUGAGGUGUCGUGUCCGUCCCCCCCCCUUUGCCGGCUGUAUCCCCACAGCCCCGCGCGGCUGGAGAGCGGGAUGAGGAGGAUGAAGGAGGGGAGGAAGCAGAAAGUGCCCGCGGGGCCAGUGCCCAUCCCUGGGGACACGUCACCGUGUGCUGUCCCCUGCCACCCCACGGACUCCCCCCAGGCACCCCCAGGCCAAGCAGGGGGGCAGGGAUUGGAUGGAACAGGGAUGGAACAGCGACAGGGAGGAAGCAGGAACAGAGAGGGGGCAGGAACGGGGAUGGAGCAGGGAUGGGGAAGGGGCAGGGAAGGGGACAGAGCAGCUACAGGGACGGAGCAGGGACAGGGAGGGAACAGGGGCAGGGAUGGAGCAGGGAGGAUACAGCAGCAGGAGGAUAAUGGGGAAAACUCACGGCUCACUGGCAGGGACAAGGACAAGCAGGACAGUGGGAGCCCGUGGGGGAAGGUCCCCGCCGGGUCCCCCCUUCCCGAGCCCCCCUGGGAGCCCCUCACACAGAACCCCCCCGUUCACAGCGAUGGCUCCGCAGGGCUCCCACCCCUGAGCCGGAGGGACUCCCCUUCCCACCCCGGGAUCGAGGGGAUUUGGGAUCGCUGAGCUGCUCCCCACGGCCCCGUCCCCCCCUCGAGAGGACCCUGGGGCUGCCGGGGCUGUGACACACUCACAGCUUUAUUCCCAGCAGCAGCACAAAACCGGCCUCUCCCGGAUCCCGGCACCAUGGGAACAGGGACACCACGGGAACAGGGACACCAUGGCAGCGGGAACACUGGGACAGCGGGGACACCGUGGCAGCACAGAUACCAUGGCAGCGGGGACACCGCGGGUUAUGGGACACCGUGGAAGAAGGGACACCGUGGAAGAAGGGACACCGAGGGAACACGGACACCCUGGGAACAGGGACACCCUGGGAACAGGGACACCGAGGGAACAGGGACACCGAGGGAACACGGACACCCUGGGAACAGAGACACCCUGGGAACAGGGACACCGUGGCAGCAGAAGGGCAGCAGCAGAAACGUUUCUGCCACCACAGGGUGGGCCCUUGCUGGGUUUUGCAGGGCAGUGACACCCCCGGCCCCCCAAAGGCUGCAGGAGACCCAGGGACACCCCCAGUCCCGGGGGCUGUCGGAGAGGGGACGGGGUGCAGAGGGACGGGCUGGAACAGCUGCUUUCCCUGGAAAUGUUGGCAAAGGUCCUGUCCCCCUGGAGACCCAAGUGGAGGCCUCACAGCCCCGGGUGUCCCCCACCCACGGGGGCUCCACGUGGGGAUGCAGCGGUGUCGGACACACUUCCCACCAUCCUGCCCUCGGAAAACACCCCCUGCAGCUCUGGGAAAGGCAGGAGGAGCAGCUCUGCCUCCAGCCAGACCACUCCAGAAGGUUUGGGAGGGGGGAGGAAUCAUCCCACCUCCUCCAGGGGCAGCCGGGGGGGAAUUCAAGGGGGCCCAGGAAGUCACCACUGCAAGUUUAUAAAAGCUUUUAUUUGCUCUUGGUACGACCAAGAAUGGGACAGUGAUCUUUUAUACAAUUUGAUACAGUAAGUGGUACAAAAGAAUGUGUUUUAAAUAAAAAGCCAGAGUGGAGUAGCAAAAAUAUUAAAAGAUUAAGUAAAAAAUUGUCGCAUGGGAAUUAAUCCAAGACCUUGAUGCUGUUUUUAUAAUUCCACCGUCCGAGGGCACGAGGCCCCCACGGCCCGUGACACUCGUGGGGCAGAGCCAAGCUCAGGUUUGGUUUGUCGGGCCCGAUUGAGUCGUUUUGACAGGUUUUUGUGGCAGGAAGGCAGCGCCGAGCCCCCCGUGGGCAGGGCCAGGAGCUCGGCAGGGCCUUCCCAGGCAGGCUGGGACCAGCAGGGAGUUCAGACACCAGCACAAAUCGAAUCACCGCAAAUUCCUCCAUCAUCGUUAUUUUUUUUGGGGUGUUUAUCUCUUUUCAGCACCGGCACCGACUCGUGCUGCUCGAGCCCACGCCCGCGGGUACAGCUCGUGGUUGGACAGGAACAGAAAAUAGACCAAAUAGAAAGAUUUCAGUUUAUUAACCGGGCAGGGGGAGGGGGUCGGGGGCGGGACCAGCGAGUGGCCUGGGCUCCACCUGGGGCUCGCACUGGGCACGGCAGCGUCUACAGAGGGGUCACACGGAGGGAGCCGAGCCCCUGGAAGCGGGUAAGAAGCUCACGUUUAAAACAAGGAUUAUACAAAAAAACCCCUUGAUGUAUAUUCGCCAUUUUUUUUCCCUUUUUGAUCACGUUAGAAAGUGCAGAUUUAACCAAAAGCGGCCGGGCUCUGCCCAAGGCUGAGCGCCCGGCCCGGCCCCGCCGGCCACUCGCCUGGGGAGGGUUAACACACACGGGGACAAAAUGCCAGCUACAGAGGGACCGGGAGACACCUCGGUGAGUUACUACAGGGGGAGGAGACGCCUCUGCGGGUCGCUCCGGGGAAGCCGCUCCGAACAAACGAGGAGUUCCACUGAAACACCGUCAUUUCGUCAUUAAAAUUCACUCAGCGUUACCCAGAAGUGCCGCCAGGGCCGACCGGCCAGUCCCGGCCCCGCGGGCACCAGGAGGCACGGGCUCGUCCCGGGAGGAGCAGGCGGGGCUGGGGAGGCAGCAGCUGGGGAGGCAGCAGCGUGUCCACCCUCGGCGUGUCCGUGGCCAGAGCUCCGGCUCCAGGUGGGAUCGAACACGGAUCGAACACGGAUCGAACGCGGCGGCUCCCGCGGGCUCUGGGACCGGCAGAACUGAGCCCUCCUUCAGGCAGGGUGACAGCCCCCCGGCCACGGGUGACAGCAGCACAGGAAGGCGAGCUGGAACAGCCAGUCCAGGCCGGGAUCAGCUCCCAGAGCGUCGGGAUCCAGGGCAGGGCUGGCCCCGCUCGGCCGCCAGCGCCGCGGAGUGGAACGUUCGCAGGGAGGUAAUAAAUUAAACUGCCGACCGGCCGGUUUGGUUCUUCUCCUCUCUUCCUUUCUCUUCCCCAUCCGGUUCCGCUCGGCUCCCGAACCCCUCGGAGCGGCUGCCGGGGAGAGACCCUCGGAGCUCGUGUCAAUUAAUUAAUUAAUUAACUGCUGUCAGUCUGGGAGUCGCAUGUUAUAUUCAUACACAGAAAGUAGACAACCACAUCACCCUCCAGAGAAACUAGUGCAUGCAAAUAACUCUUCCAUAGGGGGGGCUGUGCAGGGGGGGGUCGCUAUGACGGACACGCCUAGAGGGGUGGGUUAGUCGGGAUCUCCACAUCGUUACCUCGGGAGCUAAAUCAGUGCUUUGCAUUAAAGUUUUUUUGGCAAACACUCCGCGUUGCCAUCCUUUUCAUUAACACAUCACACCAUGAAGAAAUGCAAAUCUCGAAGCAGCAUGCAGGCAAAAAAAAAAAACCAACAGAAAACCAAAAAAAACAACAAAAAAAAAAAAUAAAAAUAAAACAACCAAAAAAAAAGGAAAGAGCGGCAAAGUGAGAAAAGAAAAUGGCAGCGGGAGGAGUUGGGAGCGGCGGGAUCGCCAAGAGGAGACACAGCAGGUUACAGGGGUUCUGCUUUUUGUUUUGCACCACCCUUUGUCCUCGAUGCAUGACACCAACGGGUACGGAAAGCAAUCACUACAGAGGUCGGGACUCAAUGGCACGGGGGGAUGGGAUGUCUCCUGCACAUGCUUCCACCAGAAAAAAAAAAGAAAAGAAAGUGAAAAUAAAAGUUCCUUUUUCCACAUAAGGCACAGGACAAAGAAACCCCACUCAUGGACUCAAGGCGAAAAAUGAGUGUUUUCCUGGCUCUUGCUGAUGCGUCUAGAGGACACGGGGACUCAAGCACAUGAUCCAUGACAGAAAAUUCCACCGUUGUACAAAAUCAAUUGUUAAUUCUAACUUUUAUUCUUAUACAAUUUGCAGAAGAGUUGAGUAUGAUUGCUCUGGGGUUUAAUGGCAGGAGGGACGGGGCCAUCGUACAACCCAAACGUGGUGGUGAGUUGAGCAGGAACGCGGAAAGAUGAAGUCACGGAGAUGGAUUUCCUAUACAUGUGGUUGAGAAAACUGGAGUAGGCAAAGCUGUCCUAGCCGGAAAACCAGGGGGGAGAGGCAGGAGCUCGUUAAGAUGAGGAACAAAACAUCGGUUUAAGGUUAAAAAACGGGCAGAGUGGUUUGU
Molecule: long non-coding RNA, 4883 nt
Organism: Pseudopipra pipra
Lineage: Eukaryota; Metazoa; Chordata; Aves; Passeriformes; Pipridae
Exons: 2
Source: RefSeq, a predicted model, not a curated record